RNAcentral lists this ribosomal RNA (353 nucleotides) under uncultured Gigaspora. RNAcentral's name for it is "SSU rRNA". It matches the Rfam family "Eukaryotic small subunit ribosomal RNA", at positions 569 to 929 of the family's 1831-position model. The record is from RNAcentral. Lineage: Eukaryota; Fungi; Glomeromycota; Glomeromycetes; Diversisporales; Gigasporaceae.
AGCAGCCGCGGUAAUUCCAGCUCCAAUAGCGUAUAUUAAAGUUGUUGCAGUUAAAAAGCUCGUAGUUGAAUUUCGGGGUUCUACCGUUGGUCGGGCAAUUGUCUGUACUGGCGUGUGGAAUUCCUACCUUCUGGGGAACCAUCAUGUUAUUAAUCUAGUGUGGUGGGAAACCUGGACCUUUACCUUGAAAAAAUUAGAGUGUUUAAAGCAGGCUUACGUUUGAAUACGUUAGCAUGGAAUAAUAAAAUAGGACGGUGGUCCUGUUUUGUUGGUUUCUGAAUCACCGUAAUGAUUAAUAGGGAUAGUUGGGGGCAUUAGUAUUCAAUUGUCAGAGGUGAAAUUCUUGGAUUUAG